GACAGAGGGUGCAAACGUUGUUCGGAUUUACUGGGCGUAAAGCGUGUGUAGGCGGCUUCGCAAGUUGGAUGUGAAAUCCCACGGCUCAACCGUGGACGUGCAUCCAAAACUGCGUCGCUAGAGUCUCGGAGAGGAAGGUGGAAUGCUUGGUGUAGAGGUGAAAUUCGUAGAUAUCAAGCGGAACACCGGUGGCGAAGGCGGCCUUCUGGACAGUGACUGACGCUGAGACGCGAAAGCGUGGGGAGCAAACAGG
RNAcentral lists this ribosomal RNA (253 nucleotides) under uncultured bacterium. Its description in RNAcentral is "partial 16S ribosomal RNA". It matches the Rfam family "Bacterial small subunit ribosomal RNA", at positions 524 to 776 of the family's 1533-position model. The record is from RNAcentral.